UACGGGGGGGGCAAGCGUUGUUCGGAAUUACUGGGCGUAAAGCGCGCGUAGGCGGCUUUGUAAGUUAGAGGUGAAAGCCCGGAGCUCAACUCCGGAACUGCCUUUAAGACUGCAUCGCUUGAAUCCGGGAGAGGUGAGUGGAAUUCCGAGUGUAGAGGUGAAAUUCGUAGAUAUUCGGAAGAACACCAGUGGCGAAGGCGGCUCACUGGACCGGCAUUGACGCUGAGGUGCGAAAGCGUGGGGAGCAAACAGG
Molecule: ribosomal RNA, 253 nt
Filed under: uncultured bacterium
Lineage: Bacteria
Description: partial 16S ribosomal RNA
Rfam family: Bacterial small subunit ribosomal RNA
Source: RNAcentral